GCAAACUUGGUCAUUUAGAGGAAGUAAAAGUCGUAACAAGGUUUCCGUAGGUGAACCUGCGGAAGGAUCAUUAGAGGCAAUGCCCCUUAUGGGUAGACCUUCAACCCAAUGUGUAUAUUCUUCGUUGCUUUGGCGUGUCGUAAGGCAAAGCCUUCCACUGGCUUUUCGGCUGGUGCGUACCCGUCAGAGGAAACUUUAAAACUCUGAAUACUAGUGUUGUCUGAGUUCUAUUCAAGUAAUUAAAACUUUCAACAACGGAUCUCUUGGUUCUGGCAUCGAUGAAGAACGCAGC
Molecule: unclassified non-coding RNA, 292 nt
Filed under: uncultured fungus
Lineage: Eukaryota; Fungi
Description: partial contains small subunit ribosomal RNA, internal transcribed spacer 1, and 5.8S ribosomal RNA
Rfam family: Eukaryotic small subunit ribosomal RNA (bases 1-73)
Source: RNAcentral